GACGAACGCUGGCGGCGUGCCUAAUACAUGCAAGUCGAACGCUUCUUUUACCACCGGAGCUUGCUCCACCGGAAAAAAAAGAGUGGCGAACGGGUGAGUAACACGUGGGUAACCUGCCCAUCAGAAGGGGAUAACACUUGGAAACAGGUGCUAAUACCGUAUAACAAUCGAAACCGCAUGGUUUUGAUUUGAAAGGCGCUUUCGGGUGUCGCUGAUGGAUGGACCCGCGGUGCAUUAGCUAGUUGGUGAGGUAACGGCUCACCAAGGCCACGAUGCAGAGCCGACCUGAGAGGGUGAUCGGCCACAUUGGGACUGAGACACGGCCCAAACUCCUACGGGAGGCAGCAGUAGGGAAUCUUCGGCAAUGGACGAAAGUCUGACCGAGCAACGCCGCGUGAGUGAAGAAGGUUUUCGGAUCGUAAAACUCUGUUGUUAGAGAAGAACAAGGAUGAGAGUAACUGUUCAUCCCUUGACGGUAUCUAACCAGAAAGCCACGGCUAACUACGUGCCAGCAGCCGCCGUAA
Molecule: ribosomal RNA, 524 nt
Filed under: uncultured bacterium
Lineage: Bacteria
Description: partial 16S ribosomal RNA
Rfam family: Bacterial small subunit ribosomal RNA
Source: RNAcentral